RNAcentral lists this unclassified non-coding RNA (627 nucleotides) under Hevea brasiliensis (rubber tree). The record is from RNAcentral. Lineage: Eukaryota; Viridiplantae; Streptophyta; Magnoliopsida; Malpighiales; Euphorbiaceae.
CUCCCCAAUUUGAGAAGUAAUCCUCUGCUUCCAUAACCAUCUGAUCCACGUAGCCUUUGAGUUUGUUGACCCUCAGAGACUCUGUAAAGAAGCGGAACUGCUCUUGUCGCACGGUGUAAUCGACAUCAAACACAACACCUGGGCCAAAUGUAGGCACAUUGAACUGAUAUACCUCCUGCUGGCUAAGGUCUGCCUCUGGGGCCUUGAAGAAGUGAGCUGAUACCUCAGGCCCAAUCAAGAAAGUAAUCUUCCAGUGAGCUAGGUUCACAGUGAAAACACUACCAAGCUUUGGAAGCAUUACAAUCGGGCCUUUCAAGAAGCGGAAUAACCCUCCAACCACUGGCCAACCGCUCACAACUGGAGGCAGACGUUUUCUAGAUCUAGGCAUAACAAAGGCGGAGAUAAGCUUGGGCACUAUGGCCACGAUGAGGACACCCAUAUUGAGGAGCUUGUUAUCAGAAUCCAUGGCGAUUACGGCGAAGAAUACAGAUUUGAAACUAAAUAACUGAUAUUGUGAUUGAGAUGCAGAGAGAUCAGCGAUGGAAAAUGAAGAUGGAGAUAACAAAGCGGAUCAUGUGAACUAGGAAUGGCAUCUCUCUCACAGUUGCUAUUACUACUAAUCAAGAG